RNAcentral lists this long non-coding RNA (1154 nucleotides) under Phasianus colchicus (ring-necked pheasant). RNAcentral's name for it is "lncRNA (ENSPCLG00000018558.1)". Lineage: Eukaryota; Metazoa; Chordata; Aves; Galliformes; Phasianidae. The record is from RNAcentral.
CAAAAAUCAUUUUCUUGAUUAUACGUAUGUGUCCACUUGCCUAAUUAAGGGAAAAUGUAGAAAUUACAGGUAUUUUGGCCAAGUAUUAUCUUCUUUGGCAGGUUAUUAUGAAGGACUGCUAUGUUUUAUUUUUCUUUCCCAGUAUCUAAGCUAAUCACAGCACGUGUAAGUAAAAGUAUCCUUGCUUAUGUGUCCACCCUCCCAAUACUUGAUCCUCCUCAAAGUUCUCAUUGGUUUGAAUCAUACGCUCAGUAAAGCAGAGCUGAUUUUUUUAUAGGUGCUAAAUCACUUUCUUUCAGAAAACCAGAAGGAACGAAUCCACAGGAACGCUUUAGAAUCAAAGGAGCUUUCUGGUUGAGGACCAGAUGAGCUAGGAGAACAGAAAAAAGGAAUCACACUUAUGGUUGAAAUACGGCCGUGUUAAAAACAGUAAGUGGAAAAAGUAUCCAUUGGCAUUCAUAUUAGGUAAGAACCAACAUGUGAGCUUUUGUGAGAUAAUAAUAAGUAGGUUUGGUUUAUAGUUACAUAGGAAACUCUAAAGCUGGUGGCUUCAUUUCUAUCCUCAGAUGGGAGUCUUCUGCAGCAAGGUUGGAGCUCAGUAAUAAGGAGGAUGAUAAUACUGAGAUAGUUGUGAAUCGCAGAAUGGAUGUGAUGCAACUACCAGCCAACAAAAAUAAAACCUCACUCAUAAGGCUGAAUCAUGUGACAGAAGAGGCACAUUUAGCAGCAAUGUGCCAGGUCCUGGCUGUAACUUGGUAUUUCCUGCCAAUGUUUGCUGGUGUUGUGUCCCUUCAGAGUAGUGAAGGCAAGAGUUACCCUGAGAGAGAAUGGCUGCCUUGGAUAUCCAUGAAGGACUUAGAAGAAAACUUAAAGAGUGACUACAGGAGGCAGCAUGUCAUUCUUUUUUUUUUUUUUUUUGAUGAAUGUUCAAGUCUUUGCUGGAUGAGCACUUUGUCUGAUGACAGACUAAAGAGUUCCUGGAUCCUCGUCUGAGGAAAUGUGCCAUUUUUAUUGCCAGUACUUUUAAAUUGUUAUGAAGACUCUGAACACCUGCCAGAAAUGAAAACAUGUAAGGGAAUAACUAUUCAGAAAAAGUUUAAAGCCAAAGUGUCAAACUACCACUGCCCUCCUCAUUUGCUUGGUCUUCAGAGCUA